RNAcentral lists this long non-coding RNA (259 nucleotides) under Mytilus galloprovincialis (Mediterranean mussel). Lineage: Eukaryota; Metazoa; Mollusca; Bivalvia; Mytilida; Mytilidae. The record is from RNAcentral.
CUCUAUUUAAAAGAUGUAUAAAACAUUUCCAUAUCUGUUUUAAUAUUUAUUGAGACAAAGUGGUUAAAUGCCAAAUCUAAAUUAAUUAUAUGUUGUGUCGAGGCCUCAAGGAUAAUACAUGAUUAGCAUAUGUAUAACCACAUACUACUAUACUCUUCACGUAUUCCUCACAUUGCAGUUGUAACUACUACCGUACAAGAGCAGGACUGUGUUUUUUCAUUUUUUUUUCACGAUGAAAUUAACUGAUAUAGACCAGGGA